Molecule: non-coding RNA, 283 nt
Organism: Maylandia zebra (zebra mbuna)
Lineage: Eukaryota; Metazoa; Chordata; Actinopteri; Cichliformes; Cichlidae
Source: RefSeq, a predicted model, not a curated record
GCACUCUGUGUGGGGAACAUGAGAGCCAGACCAAAGCUCAGAGGAAUGAACGAGGAACUAAAUGCAAACAUGAACCUGGACCCAGCUCUGUCUCCUUAAAGAGUGACCGGUCUAAAGCUGACAUUAUUGAUUUUAAAGUCCAGCCUGUGUCUGCUGCAGAGAGGAACCAACGAGGAACUAAAUGCAAACAUGAACCUGGACCCAGCUCUGUCUCCUUAAAGAGUGACCGGUCUAAAGCUGACAUUAUUGAUUUUAAAGUCCAGCCUCUGUCUGCUGCAGUGAG